This 406-nucleotide ribosomal RNA is filed under the name Lithax niger. Its description in RNAcentral is "partial small subunit ribosomal RNA". Lineage: Eukaryota; Metazoa; Arthropoda; Insecta; Trichoptera; Goeridae. The record is from RNAcentral.
UUAGAUACCCUAUUAUUAAAAUUAAUUAUUAAAAAUAAAGUAGUAAAAGUUAUAAUCUUAAAACUUAAAGAAUAUGGCAGUAUUUUAAUCUAAUUAGAGGAACCUGUUUAUUAAUUGAUAAUCCACGAUUAAUUUUACUUAAAUUUAUAUAAUUUGUAUAUCGUUGUUAUAAAAAUAUUUUUUAGAAAUAAAAAUUUAAAUGUUUUUAAAAAAAAAUAUAUCAAAUCAUGAUGCAGUUUAUAAUUAAGAAUAUAAUGGGUUAUAAUAAAUUUAUUUUUGAAUAAUUUAAUGAAAUAUUAAUUUUGAAAUUAGAUUUAAUAGUAAUUUUAUUAAAAUUAAUAAAAUGAUUUAAGUUCUAAAAUAUGUACAUAUUGCCCGUCAUUUUCAUUAUAAAUUGAAACAAGUC